GGAUUAGAUACCCUGGUAGUCCAUGCCGUAAACGUUGGGCACUAGGUGUGGGGAGGAUUCAACCCUUUCCGUGCCGUAGCUAACGCAUUAAGUGCCCCGCCUGGGGAGUACGGCCGCAAGGCUAAAACUCAAAGGAAUUGACGGGGGCCCGCACAAGCGGCGGAGCAUGUUGCUUAAUUCGAGGCAACGCGAAGAACCUUACCUAGGUUGAACUACGCAGGAAAAGCCACAGAGAUGUGGUGUCCUUCGGGGUCUGCGAUAGGUGGUGCAUGGCUGUCGUCAGCUCGUGCCG
This 292-nucleotide ribosomal RNA is filed under the name uncultured bacterium. RNAcentral's name for it is "partial 16S ribosomal RNA". It matches the Rfam family "Bacterial small subunit ribosomal RNA", at positions 775 to 1067 of the family's 1533-position model. The record is from RNAcentral.